AGCAGCCGCGGUAAUUCCAGCUCCAAUAGCGUAUAUUAAAGUUGUUGCAGUUAAAAAGCUCGUAGUUGAAUUUCGGGGUUAGUAGGUUGGUCAUGCCUCUGGUAUGUACUGGUCUCACUGAUUCCUCCUUCCUGAUGAGCCGUAAUGCCAUUAAUUUGGUGUUGCGGGGAAUUUGGACUGUUACUUUGAAAAAAUUAGAGUGUUUAAAGCAAGCUAACGCUUGAAUACAUUAGCAUGGAAUAAUGAAAUAGGACGUUCGAUCCUAUUUUGUUGGUUUCUAGGAUUGACGUAAUGAUUAAUAGGGAUAGUUGGGGGCAUUAGUAUUCAAUUGUCAGAGGUGAAAUUCUUGGAUUUAUUGAAGACUAACUACUGCGAAAGCAUUUGCCAAGGAUGUUUUCAUUAAUCAAGAACGAAAGUUAGGGGAUCGAAGACGAUCAGAUACCGUCGUAGUCUUAACCAUAAACUAUGCCGACUAAGGAUCGGAUGAUGUUAAUUUUUUAAUGACUCAUUCGGCGCCUUA
This 520-nucleotide unclassified non-coding RNA is filed under the name uncultured Glomus. RNAcentral describes it as "SSU rRNA". It matches the Rfam family "Eukaryotic small subunit ribosomal RNA", at positions 569 to 1090 of the family's 1831-position model. The record is from RNAcentral. Lineage: Eukaryota; Fungi; Glomeromycota; Glomeromycetes; Glomerales; Glomeraceae.